This 765-nucleotide ribosomal RNA is filed under the name uncultured cyanobacterium. Its description in RNAcentral is "bacterial SSU rRNA". It matches the Rfam family "Bacterial small subunit ribosomal RNA", at positions 28 to 839 of the family's 1533-position model. Lineage: Bacteria; Bacillati; Cyanobacteriota. The record is from RNAcentral.
GAUGAACGCUGGCGGUAUGCUUAACACAUGCAAGUCGAACGGUCUCUUCGGAGAUAGUGGCGGACGGGUGAGUAACGCGUAAGAAUCUACCUACAGGUUCGGGACAACAGUUAGAAAUGACUGCUAAUACCGGAUGUGCCGAGAGGUGAAAGCUUUAGUGCCUGUAGAUGAGCUUGCGUCCGAUUAGCUAGAUGGUGGGGUAACGGCCUACCAUGGCGACGAUCGGUAGCUGGUCUGAGAGGAUGACCAGUCACACUGGAACUGAGACACGGUCCAGACUCCUACGGGAGGCAGCAGUGGGGAAUUUUCCGCAAUGGGCGAAAGCCUGACGGAGCAAUACCGCGUGAGGGACGAAGGUCUGUGGAUUGUAAACCUCUUUUGUUGGGGAAGAUAAUGACGGUACCCAACGAAUAAGCAUCGGCUAACUCCGUGCCAGCAGCCGCGGUAAGACGGAGGAUGCAAGCGUUAUCCGGAAUUAUUGGGCGUAAAGCGUACGUAGGCUGUUUCAUAAGUCUGUUGUCAAAGCGCGAGGCUCAACCUUGUAAAGGCAAUGGAAACUGCGAGACUAGAGAGAGAUAGGGGCAGGAGGAAUUCCAGGUGUAGCGGUGAAAUGCGUAGAUAUCUGGAAGAACACCAGUGGCGAAAGCGUCCUGCUGGAUCUCAACUGACGCUGAAGUACGAAAGCUAGGGGAGCGAAUGGGAUUAGAUACCCCAGUAGUCCUAGCCGUAAACGAUGGGUACUAGGUGUUGGUCGUAUCGACCCGA